This 1057-nucleotide ribosomal RNA is filed under the name Lactobacillus delbrueckii subsp. bulgaricus. RNAcentral describes it as "bacterial SSU rRNA". It matches the Rfam family "Bacterial small subunit ribosomal RNA", at positions 408 to 1456 of the family's 1533-position model. Lineage: Bacteria; Bacillati; Bacillota; Bacilli; Lactobacillales; Lactobacillaceae. The record is from RNAcentral.
AAGAAGGUUUUCGGAUCGUAAAGCUCUGUUGUUGGUGAAGAAGGAUAGAGGCAGUAACUGGUCUUUAUUUGACGGUAAUCAACCAGAAAGUCACGGCUAACUACGUGCCAGCAGCCGCGGUAAUACGUAGGUGGCAAGCGUUGUCCGGAUUUAUUGGGCGUAAAGCGAGCGCAGGCGGAAUGAUAAGUCUGAUGUGAAAGCCCACGGCUCAACCGUGGAACUGCAUCGGAAACUGUCAUUCUUGAGUGCAGAAGAGGAGAGUGGAAUUCCAUGUGUAGCGGUGGAAUGCGUAGAUAUAUGGAAGAACACCAGUGGCGAAGGCGGCUCUCUGGUCUGCAACUGACGCUGAGGCUCGAAAGCAUGGGUAGCGAACAGGAUUAGAUACCCUGGUAGUCCAUGCCGUAAACGAUGAGCGCUAGGUGUUGGGGACUUUCCGGUCCUCAGUGCCGCAGCAAACGCAUUAAGCGCUCCGCCUGGGGAGUACGACCGCAAGGUUGAAACUCAAAGGAAUUGACGGGGGCCCGCACAAGCGGUGGAGCAUGUGGUUUAAUUCGAAGCAACGCGAAGAACCUUACCAGGUCUUGACAUCCUGUGCUACACCUAGAGAUAGGUGGUUCCCUUCGGGGACGCAGAGACAGGUGGUGCAUGGCUGUCGUCAGCUCGUGUCGUGAGAUGUUGGGUUAAGUCCCGCAACGAGCGCAACCCUUGUCUUUAGUUGCCAUCAUUAAGUUGGGCACUCUAAAGAGACUGCCGGUGACAAACCGGAGGAAGGUGGGGAUGACGUCAAGUCAUCAUGCCCCUUAUGACCUGGGCUACACACGUGCUACAAUGGGCAGUACAACGAGAAGCGAACCCGCGAGGGUAAGCGGAUCUCUUAAAGCUGUUCUCAGUUCGGACUGCAGGCUGCAACUCGCCUGCACGAAGCUGGAAUCGCUAGUAAUCGCGGAUCAGCACGCCGCGGUGAAUACGUUCCCGGGCCUUGUACACACCGCCCGUCACACCAUGGAAGUCUGCAAUGCCCAAAGUCGGUGGGAUAACCUUUAUAGGAGUCAGCCGC